RNAcentral lists this ribosomal RNA (621 nucleotides) under uncultured bacterium. Its description in RNAcentral is "bacterial SSU rRNA". The stretch from base 1 to 520 matches the Rfam family "Bacterial small subunit ribosomal RNA", at positions 338 to 873 of the family's 1533-position model. The record is from RNAcentral.
CCUACGGGAGGCAGCAGUGGGGAAUAUUGGACAAUGGGCGAAAGCCUGAUCCAGCAAUGCCGCGUGAGUGAUGAAGGCCUUAGGGUUGUAAAGCUCUUUUACCAGGGAUGAUAAUGACAGUACCUGGAGAAUAAGCUCCGGCUAACUCCGUGCCAGCAGCCGCGGUAAUACGGAGGGAGCUAGCGUUGUUCGGAAUUACUGGGCGUAAAGCGUACGUAGGCGGUUAUUCAAGUCAGAGGUGAAAGCCUGGAGCUCAACUCCAGAACUGCCUUUGAAACUAGAUAGCUAGAAUCUUGGAGAGGUGAGUGGAAUUCCGAGUGUAGAGGUGAAAUUCGUAGAUAUUCGGAAGAACACCAGUGGCGAAGGCGACUCACUGGACAAGUAUUGACGCUGAGGUACGAAAGCGUGGGGAGCAAACAGGAUUAGAUACCCUGGUAGUCCACGCCGUAAACGAUGAUAACUAGCUGUUCGGGCUCUACGAGCUUGAGUGGCGCNGCUACGACAUUAAGUUAAGUCCGUCCGUCGGGAGGUACGGUCGCGAAGAAGUUAAAACGUUAAAAGGUAAAGUUAGUUACGGUCGUUGAGACGUUGCCGACGGACGACCGACGAGGGGAGGUUAGG